Molecule: long non-coding RNA, 492 nt
Filed under: Manihot esculenta (cassava)
Lineage: Eukaryota; Viridiplantae; Streptophyta; Magnoliopsida; Malpighiales; Euphorbiaceae
Description: long non-coding RNA (MESC_LNC005758)
Source: RNAcentral
GGUCACAUAAAUCCGGCGGUGACAUUUGGGCUGUUUUUGGCAAGGAAACUGUCCUUGACAAGGGCUUUGUACUACAUGGUGAUGCAGUGUCUUGGAGCCAUAUGUGGUGCUGGUGUAGUGAAAGGAUUUGAAGGGCGUAAACAGUAUACUUUGUUGGGCGGUGGUGCCAAUAGUGUGAACCCAGGUUACACCAAAGGCGACGGGCUCGGUGCUGAAAUUGUUGGCACUUUUGUUCUUGUCUACACUGUCUUCUCCGCCACUGAUGCCAAACGUAAUGCCAGAGACUCCCAUGUUCCGGUAAGUUGCCUCUCGCUCUUUGAUUUCUUCUGCAAUUCAGUGUCUCUAUGAUAAAUUGUAAAGAAAGAAUCUGAUGAUUGUUGAAAUUUAUGGUCAGAUUUUGGCACCUUUGCCAAUUGGCUUCGCUGUGUUCUUGGUGCACUUGGCAACUAUCCCAAUUACAGGAACUGGUAUCAACCCAGCUCGUAGUCUCGG